Molecule: ribosomal RNA, 492 nt
Filed under: uncultured bacterium
Lineage: Bacteria
Description: partial 16S ribosomal RNA
Rfam family: Bacterial small subunit ribosomal RNA
Source: RNAcentral
GGGGGGGGGUGGGGGGGGGGCGGGGGGGGGGGGGGCGGGGGGGGGCACGGGGAGAGCGGGCGCUUACGGGUGGCGAGUGGCGGACGGGUGGGGAAUACAUCGGAAUCUACUUGUUCGUGGGGGAUAACGUGGGGAAACGUCCGCUAACACCGCAUACGACCUACGGGUGAAAGCAGGGGAUCUUCGGACCUUGCGCGAUUGAAUGAGCCGAUGUCGGAUUAGCUAGUUGGCGGGGUAAAGGCCCACCAAGGCGACGAUCCGUAGCUGGUCUGAGAGGAUGAUCAGCCACACUGGAACUGAGACACGGUCCAGACUCCUACGGGAGGCAGCAGUGGGGAAUAUUGGACAAUGGGCGCAAGCCUGAUCCAGCCAUACCGCGUGGGUGAAGAAGGCCUUCGGGUUGUAAAGCCCUUUUGUUGGGAAAGAAAAGCAGCAGGUUAAUACCCCGCUGUUCUGACGGUACCCAAAGAAUAAGCCCCGGCUAACUUCGUG